Molecule: ribosomal RNA, 490 nt
Filed under: uncultured bacterium
Lineage: Bacteria
Description: partial 16S ribosomal RNA
Rfam family: Bacterial small subunit ribosomal RNA
Source: RNAcentral
AUUGAACGCUGGCGGCAGGCCUAACACAUGCAAGUCGAAUGGUAACAGGAAACAGCUUGCUGUUUCGCUGACGAGUGGCGGACGGGUGAGUAAUGUCUGGGAAACUGCCUGAUGGAGGGGGAUAACUACUGGAAACGGUAGCUAAUACCGCAUAACGUCGCAAGACCAAAGAGGGGGACCUUCGGGCCUCUUGCCAUCAGAUGUGCCCAGAUGGGAUUAGCUAGUAGGUGGGGUAACGGCUCACCUAGGCGACGAUCCCUAGCUGGUCUGAGAGGAUGACCAGCCACACUGGAACUGAGACACGGUCCAGACUCCUACGGGAGGCAGCAGUGGGGAAUAUUGCACAAUGGGCGCAAGCCUGAUGCAGCCAUGCCGCGUGUAUGAAGAAGGCCUUCGGGUUGUAAAGUACUUUCAGCGGGGAGGAAGGGAGUAAAGUUAAUACCUCUGCUCAUUGACGUUACCCGCAGAAGAAGCACCGGCUAACUCCGUG